Molecule: long non-coding RNA, 36366 nt
Filed under: Populus trichocarpa (black cottonwood)
Lineage: Eukaryota; Viridiplantae; Streptophyta; Magnoliopsida; Malpighiales; Salicaceae
Description: long non-coding RNA (PTRI_LNC002684)
Source: RNAcentral
CAACUUGGCUUAAGGCCCUCACUUUUGCUAUUUUCACACGAUCCCGUUUAAGUGGUUCAACAACUAGUUCUUUACUUUCCAAGAUGCCACAUGACUGUGUUCCUUUUUUGAAUUAUAACCUUGCUCAAAACCCCAGUAAUCGGGACUUGACAAUUCCUCUGCUAUCUACUCAUGUUCCUUACAGUUGUUUACCUAAAUCUAUCAUUUCUUCUUGUUGCAAGAUUAUUUACAUUUGCAGGGACGCAAAGGAUGCUUUUGUUUCUUUGUGGUACUUUCAUGCCACGUUGCAAAGGUCGAAAAAUGUUGAGCCUCUUCCUCUGGAAGAGGCUUUUGAGCUGUUCUGCAAUGGAAUUGCAAAUUUUGGACCCUACUGGAACCAUGUUUUAGGGUACUGGAGAGCAAGCUUGGAGUUCCCCGAGAAGAUACUGUUCUUGACAUAUGAGGAAAUGAAGAAAGACACCGCUGCUCAUGUUAAGAAAUUAGCUGAGUUCAUGGGUUGUUCUUUCACCCUAGAGGAAGAGGAGGAAGGGGAGGUGCAAAAGAUAAUAGGCAUGUGUAGUUUUGAGAAGUUGAGCAACUUGGAGGUGAAUAAAAAUGGGAAGUGCCUUCUAGACAUAUCAAUUCCUAUUCCAAAUAGUAUAUUCUUCAGGAAAGGUGAGAUAGGCGACUGGGCAAAUCACUUGACACCUGAAAUGGGAGCACGUCUAGAUGACAUAAUGGAGCGGAAGCUCAAGGGUUCAGGCUUGAAGCUGCCCAGGUGACUGUGCCUGGGCCCCGUUUGCUUAUUAUUAUUGGCUUAGUGGGUUCGUCAAAAGCUGUUAUCAACAUCUCGUGAAACAGCAACCGUGUAUCCCAAUAAAUACCCUCUCUGUUCAUCUCUUGUAUUUCCUAGCAAGUAUUCACAUUUUGUGAAUCAUCCAUGUCAAUAAGCAAUAUUCUUUUGUGAAUCUGUGUUUGUAACUUUCAUUGAUUUCCUUGCAAGUUUGUAAGAAUUAAAAAUGGGAUUCGUUUUUUAUUUAUUUAUUUAACACAAGUGCAUGCAUUCCAUUAAUCAGUGAUAAAAAAAAAUAAAAUUACUCUACUAUAUAAUAUUAGAGUGUUUUCUUCACAGAAAUUGCAGUGUGUUUUCUUCACACUGCAAUACAUGUUUUAAAAGAACCGAGACAACCAUACAUGAGGGCGGAGCAAAUACCAACCGAGACAACCAUCCAUUAAGAUUGUUGAAUUGAAGAUCAAAUGAACAUAGGCGGCACAUCUGCUGAAAGGAUCUCGAAAUGCCUUGUAAUUGGUUAAAAUAAAGAUCAAGAUCUGUAGGAGAACUCGUGUUUUCCACUCCUAAAAUAAGCCCAGUUGCCGGCUUCAUGUGCAACAGAGGCACAUAGAGAAUCUCCCCCCCCCCCCCUCCAGGCUCAGAUCACAAAUCUUCUUACUUCAAACCAAUCUUUUGGAACCGAUAUAUAUGUCGAGUGAUGGCUUGAUUUAUACCGGAGAUUGUGUUGGAAAAUUAAAGAAGCAUGGCUUAAUUUGUACCUUGGAUGCGCAAAUUGAUUACAGGAAAAUAUCAAAAAAAAAUUUCCUUUCUUUAUAACUUAUGAAGAGUAAAAUAAAAAAAAAGUUAAUAGUAAAACAAAAUAACCCCAAGUGUACAUUAUCAAUGCAAAACUAGAUUUUUCCUUAUUUUAUAUCCCUUUCUUUUGAUAUACUUCUUCUUUUAUGCCCCUUUCUUUUGGUAUAUCUCUUCUUUGUAUCUUUUGGUGUUAAUCACUUUGUUGAAUGCCUCUGUUGAUAUCUUUUAUAACUCACUACAGUGAUUUGAACAUUGAAAAUGUUUCCUUUUAAAAAAAAAAAAUAGAGAAGGCAUUUUGAUUUCAUCUUCAAUUUUUCUGCAUGUCUUCUUCUUUCAAAGUAUUGGGUUUAAAACACAAUCAUGCUCUACAUCAUGCUUUGAGUUUUCCAGGUUAUUUUCAGAAAGAUUUGAUAUAUUUGACCUGAAAGAAAAAAAGGAUGUACAAAGCUUUGCAUUUCUGGAACGUCUUUUCAUCAUGCUCUACAUGAUUCAAUCACAUUGCUCACAUCUACAUGAGUAACCAGAAAAGCAAGUAUUUCAUCGGAUUCUACAUGAUUCGAUCACUUCGCUCACAGCUUUAUGAGUCUCUGGUGAUAUCGUGUUUAAUUAAAUAGAAUAUUUAUUAUAAGAAACAGAUUUAUCAAAUAUAAUUGAGUAUAUGCCUCAUCAUAUCAAAUAUUUUAAUUAGAUGUAACUAUCUAGGUGGUGGUUCAGUGGUAAAAGUUUGGGACCAAGAUGUUUGUUCCCUCUGUGGUCUCAGGUUCGAGCCCUGUGGUUGCUCAUAUGAUGGUCAUUGGAGGCUUACAUGGUCGUUAACUUCAGGGCCCGUGGGAUUAGUCAAGGUGCACGCAAGCUGAUCCGGACAUCCAUGUUAAACUAAAAAAAUAUAUAUAUUUUAAUUAGAUGCGUGUGUACAAGUAUUUUAAUUUAUGAUUAAGAAUUUUUUUAUAUCAAAAAAAAAUUAAAAAGUCUGUAUAUUUAUUUUUCCUUGUUAAAACAAUUAUCUGAAAUAGCCAGUAAUCAACUAACUAUGAAAGAUAAGAUUGAGAAUUGAGAAGUUUAUUUGUCAGCAGACAGUAGCUUCAGUAGAUGGAAAAAGACUCUCUAGAUCACCGGAUCAAUUCCCACCUUCAUGAACUAUUUUUUAUUAGUACAGAAAGCUUCAUAUCAGUCAAAACUCUCUCUCUCUCUCUCUCUCUCUCUCUCUCUCUCUAAAUGGAUCAGAGACUACACAAAUAUAGAGGUGGAGCUUCACAUUAAGCUUCAGAUCAAUUUUCUAUUUUAAAAUCUCAUAAGUUUGGUCCAUUGAUUGCCCUAGAUUGCCCUAGAUUUUCCUGUGUUUUAUAUCCUUUUCUUUUGACAUUUUUUUUAAUCUUUUUCCAGGCCAAAAUCCUAAUUUAAUGUUUGAAAUUGAGAUGAUAAUUAUUUAACUAGAAAAUAUAUUAAAAUAAUAUUUUUUAUUUUUAAAAAUUUAUUUUAAUCAUCACCACAUUAAAACAAUCUAAAAUUAUAUAAAAAAAUUAAAAUAAUAAGAUUUAAAAAUAUUUUUUAAACACAAAAACAAACACAAUCAUCACUCAUAUAUCAUGAGAUUUGCAUUUAGACAUUAAAAUUCAAGAAGAAAUUAAGUUCACCGUACUAUUAAUUCAGUCGAUGAAGGAUUAGUCCCAACUACUUUAGGCCACCAUUAAUUACUUUAUUUAAAUGUAUACUUCUUUAUUAAUUCAGUCGAUGAAGGAUUAGUCCCAACUACUUUGGGCAUUUUAACUCCAUCUUCAAUUACUUUAUUUAAAGGUAUCCUUCUUUCUUAGAUAUUGAAUUUUGAAAACACAAUCAUGCUAAAGAUUUGUCAACGAAUUGUUUUUUAAAAUAAAAAAAUAUUUUAAAAAAUAAUUAAUACCAUACUACCGAGCAAAUGAAGUUAUGUGGAGGGUUCCGCACCAUUUAAAGGUUGUAAAGAAAGGUUUAAAACACAAUGACGAUAAAGAUUUGCUAUCGAAUAUAAUAUGAAAUAAUAAUACCCAAUUGCAUCAGCGGACAUGUGAUCAACAAUAUUAAAAUUCUGUAAAUUUUGAUUUAAUUCAAUUAUUGGAAUUCCAGGCAGCGUGGCAAUGUCAGAAAAUCUUGGACGAUGGUGACUAAAUGUUUGUAAAUGGAGACGGCACGUUCGCGGAAGGUAAUAGUCGAUGGUGCCAAAAAUUAAAUCAGCUCUCAACUCGUUACAAAUAGCUGCCAUGGCCUUUCAUUCUACAUUAUUUUUUCUUUUUUCACAUUCAUGGAAUCCUCUUUGCCUUCCACCCAAAUCUUGGAUUCUGGUGAAAGUGCUGAGAGGAAAAAUGAAGCUAAAAAUUACAAUGAAGUCAUGUCCACCCUUCCAAAAGUAAAAGGCUUGAAUGGGUGUGAUUAUUACCUGUACCAAUGCUUUUGGUACGAUCCCUCCUUCUUGGAAGGAAUCAUGUCUGUUCAAGAGCGCUUCAAUCCUCAAUCCACUGAUAUAUUUCUCGCCAGUUUUCCAAAAACUGGCACAACUUGGCUUAAGGCCCUCACUUUUGCUAUUUGUACACGAUCCCGUUUAAGUGGUUCAACAACUAGUUCUUUACUUUCCAAGAUGCCACAUGACUGUGUUCCUUUUAUGGAAUAUGACCUUGCUCAGAACCCAAGUAAUCGGGACUUGGCAAUUCCUCUGGUAUCUACUCAUGUUCCUUACACUUGUUUACCUAAAUCUAUCAUUUCUUCUUGUUGCAAGAUUAUUUACAUUUGCAGGGACGCAAAGGAUGUUUUUGUUUCUUUGUGGUACUUUCUUGCCAGGCUGCAAAUGUCUGAAAAUGUUGAGCCUCUUCUUCUGGAAGAGGCUUUUGAGUUGUUUUGCAAUGGAAUUGCAAAUUUUGGACCCUACUGGAACCAUGUUUUAGGGUACUGGAGAGCAAGCUUGGAGUUCCCCGAGAAGAUACUGUUCUUGACAUAUGAGGAAAUGAAGAAAGACACCGCUGCUCAUGUUAAGAAAUUAGCUGAGUUCAUGGGUUGUUCUUUCACCCUAGAGGAAGAGGAGGAAGGGGAGGUGCAAAAGAUAAUAGGCAUGUGUAGUUUUGAGAAGUUGAGCAACUUGGAGGUGAAUAAAAAUGGGAAGUGCCUUCUAGACAUAUCAAUUCCUAUUCCAAAUAGUAUAUACUUCAGGAAAGGUGAGAUAGGCGACUGGGCAAAUCACUUGACACCUGAAAUGGGAGCACGUCUAGAUGACAUAAUGGAGCGGAAGCUCAAGGGUUCAGGCUUGAAGCUGCCCAGGUGACUGCGCCUGGGUCCCAUUUGCUUCUGAUUAUUGCCGAAGUGGGUUCAUCAAAAGCUGUUAUCAACAUCUCGUGAAACAGCAACUGUGUAUCCCAAUAAAUACCCUCUCUGUUCAUCUCUUGUAUUUCCUAGCAAGUAUUCACAUUUUGUGAAUAAUCCAUGUGAAUAAGCAAUGUUCUUUUGUGAAUCUGUGUUUGUAACUUUCAUUGAUUUCCUUGCAAGUUUGUAAGAAUUAAAAAUGGGAUUCGUUUUUUAUUUAUUUAUUUAACACAAGUGCAUGCAUUCCAUUAAUCAGUGAUAAAAAAAAAAAAAUUACUCUACUAUAUAAUAUUAGAGUGUUUUCUUCACAGAAAUUGCAGUGUGUUUUCUUCCCACUGCAAUACAUGUUUUAAAAGAACCGAGACAACCAUACAUGAGGGCGGAGCAAAUACCAACCGAGACAACCAUCCAUUAAGAUUGUUGAAUUGAAGAUCAAAUGAACAUAGGCGGCACAUCUGCUGAAAGGAUCUCGAAAUGCCUUGUAAUUGGUUAAAAUAAAGAUCAAGAUCUGUAGGAGAACUCGUGUUUUCCACUCCUAAAAUAAGCCCAGUUGCCGGCUUCAUGUGCAACAGAGGCACAUAGAGAAUCUGAAAGCAGUUUUUAUGCACUAUCAGCAGAAUAAUUUGAUCAGUCAGAAUGAUCCCCCCCCCACUAGGCUCAGAUCACAAUUCUUCUUACUUCAAACAAAUCUUUUGGAACCGAUAUGUGGAGGGAUGGCUUGAUUUAUACCGGAGAUUUUGUUGGAAAAUUAAAGAAGCAUGGCUUAAUUUGUACCUUGGAUGCGCAAAUUGAUUACAGGGAAAAAAAUGACAGAAAGUGAGUUGCAGGGAAUGAAAAAGGCAUUAGUAAACUCAACAGCUUGCAGGGCAUCGUUCCUUGGUUUACUCCGUUUUAUUUCUUAUUUUGUUUUUCCUGCCAUUGUCUUAUGUUUGUCUAACUCGCAGUCUGGUCUCUGCAGAGAAUGAGAAAGCACAGACUCUUUAAGAGAAGAUAUUCUCCGGCAAUGGCAUCAAACAGAAAAGUCCGACGUUAACUAAAUGAGUUCAUGGGUCUCUUGUCUGAAUAUAGAAGUGCAGAAACUAAGCUUGACCAAAAACCCCCAUGCUACCAACUACAACUCAACAAGCAACAAAUCAAAUGAAUUGUGAUCCGCCAGUAAACAGCGAAUGGACACUGCCCCAGCAAUAGAUCAUACAAGCUCUGACCAACCGGUCAAAGAUCACGAGGACCCUACCCACUGCCCACUGACUGACAAUUCAUCAAAUAGAUUUAUUGCCGUUCACCACCUUAUUUAGAUGUAUUUUUAAAUAAUAUCCGUGAACUCAAAAAAAAAUCACUCAAAUAUCUCCCUAGAAAACUGACCUUGAACUCUUAACUAGGAGAAAAACAAAGAGGAAAAAUAGAGCUUAUAACAUAGGAAACUACGCUGAAAACUGAGGUGAAAAAAAGUGUAAGAAAUUCUGUAAAAAUGUCCAGAAACACUUUUUAUCACUUUUUACAGAGGAUUUUGAAACCUAAACCAAUGUAGAUUUACUUUUAGUAAUUAUUAAAAAUUAAUUUUUAUCAUUAUCAAUCUUAAUUAUCCGUUAUAAAUUAAAAUUAACCUUAACCCUUUUAGCUUUAAAUAUAAUGCUUUGUUAGAAUUAUAAAAACCAUUCAAAUUGAAAAAAAUUGCUUAGGCUGAAAAAAGUGUUCAGACUCUAUAUUCAUUGACAGUACAAACUGAUGGAUUAGAAAGAAAAAAAAUAUAUAGGCCAAAAAAUUAUAAAUCCAAACCCAAGUUUAAAAUAUAUUGAUAAAAAUUAAUUAUUUAUAGUUUACAAUAAAAUCAGACUUGGGACAAGCAAGCCAAUUAAGCAUGGGACUUCAACUCAAAGUUUACUUUACUUAGGUUUUUUUUUUUAAUCUGAGUGUAUUUUAAUCCAAUUUUAAUUCUUUAUAUUUUUAAUAUAUAAUUAACAAUAAAAAUGUUGUUUUUUUUACGUGAAAUAAAGGUUUUGAAUUUCACAAAGAUAUAUUCAUCAACAAAAUUAAAUUUUUAUUUAUUUAUAAUUUAUUUUAAUUAUUUUAAUAUUUUAUGUUAAAGAGAUUUGGUUGGAGAAUAAGUUUCAAUAAAAUUUAAAUCCGAAAAAUAAGUAGAUUUUAUUUUUAAUUUUAUUUCAAAUAUAUUUAUUUUUUAUGUUUUAAAACAAAUUUUAUCUCAUCUAUGUAUGUAUAAAUAUAUAAUCACAAUUCUCAAUACAGCACUUAUAGUUAGUUAUCGAACGAAAGAAUGUUAUCUCUUUCAGUAUGCCACAGAUAUUCAAAACACGGCGGUCACCCUUAUUAGCUUGCAGUCGUCUAUCGAAGUAUUAUCGCCAAAUCCACAGAAGCAAGGCAAACCACAGUUUUCUCUAGUUAUAGGACUAGACGGUACUGCGCUAGACUGCAGGUUUACAAUAUUUUUUCGAUAAAAUAUUUAAAUCAUGAGAAAAUCAUGCAUGAUUAAAAGAGUAAAAUUCAAAUUAAAAAUAUCAAUACAUGACAAAAUAAAAUUAAAAAAAAUUAAAUAAAAUUUUUAUAAAAAAACUAGAAUAAAAGAGAGGACUGAAACCGAAAAAGUUUAAACAAAAAGGACAUACCUGCAAUUUGAGGGGGGGAGGGAGGAGGAGAAAAAAAAAGGUUCAUCAACAACGAACUGCUCGACCUUCACCUACAUGUAUCGCACCAUGAGAAAGAGGAAGCAGUGAUGCUUCCAACAACACAAUAAAAUGUUUAUUUUUACAACUAGAGGUAUUGCAUGCUAUACUUGAAGUGCUAGCUUUUUAAAUUUUAAUAUUAUUUAUUUUUUUGUUAAAAGAUUACAAUGCGCAAACUAAAAAGAAAAACAAUAUAAAAAGAUAAAGUAUAACCUUGACCUAAAGCUUUUCUUUUUCUUUUUACUUCAAGGAUAUUUAAGUAAGUUUAGUGUACAUUCAAAAGCAUUUAAUGAAAUACCCUUCGACCAAGGUUUUUUUUUUUUUUAAAGUAUAAGACACUUAACAAAAUAAUAAAUAACAAAAAUUAAAAACUUAAAAAGACAAAAAAUACCCUUCGACCAAGGUUUUUUUUUUUUACUCCAAAGCAUUUAAUGAAUCUCGCCCAUAACGACAGCAAGUCUUUAAAAAGUGGAUUUCCUGAUGAAACCUGGAUAGUAUCAGUGCCAGCUCGAGCUCAGAAUGCGGCAUCUAUUGAUUAACUUACCAGUUACCAACACAAGGAGACACACACAACAACUUUAAAAAGGGCAUUAUAUAGCUAAACAUUGAUUAUUAUUUUUAUUUCAUUUUUAAUAUUAUAUUAAUUUUAAAUAUAUAUAUUUUUAAUUUCUCCAUUCAAUAACAAGUUGAAAUUCAUAAUUUUAUUUAAUUCAUUUCUUAUAAUAAUUUUUUUCCCAUCGUUUAAUUAAAUAAAAUAUUUAUUAUAAAAAAUAAAAUUAUUAAACAUAAUUGAGUAUAUGGCUUGUAUUUUUAGGUUAAAUAUUGUAAUUAGAUGUGGGUAUAAGCAUUUUAAUUUAUAAUUAAAAAGAAAAACUAUAUCCAAAAAAGAAUUUAAAAAACCUGUAUAUUUAUUUUUCAAUUAUCUAACCUGCAGCAGUGAAGUGCAAUUGAAAUAGCUAGUAAUCUAACUAAAAAAUUUAAGAUAAGAUUAAGAAAUGAGAAGUUUAUUUGUCAGCAGACAGUAGCUUCAGUAAAUAGAAAAUAUAGACUGUACUGCUGCUGAUCCCGGGAUCAAUGCCCACCUUCAUGGAUUAUAUAUAUAUAUAUAUAUAUAUAUAUAUUCAAUGUGAGAUAUUAAGUCAUUUAGUACAUACUAGUUAGAUGACUUGUGCGGUGCUGCGAGUUAAUUUUUUUUGCAUAAAAAUAUAUAAAAAAACUAAAAUCUAAAAGUAUUAGGUCUUUUUGCAAAGUUAUACCCAAGAAUCUUGGGUUUGGCUGCAACGCCUGACCCAAGAGUAAUAUUUAUAAUAUUAAUUAUAACAUUAAACUUGCAUGACUCAAGUUUAAAUGAGUCUAGAUGCAAUACCAUACCCAAUAGUCUUGGAUGUGGGUCUGGCUGCAAGGUCGUGUAAUAAAAGUGUGAUAAUUAAAUAGAUUAAUUAAAAAUAAAAAAAACAAAGAAAAAAACAAACAUGAAGAAAAAAACUAAUGAAGAAAAAGAAAAAAAAUUUGAAUUAACUGGGUUAACCCUUCAAACCAGGUUAAUCCGUCAAACCUUGGAUUCGUGUCGUGAAAGUUUGAUAACUAAAUAAAAAAAAAAUGAACAUUAACAAACUAAAUUAAAUGAAAAAAAUAAUUAAAAAAAAAAGCAUCAGCCUUUUCACUGUGGACUGCACUGUGCAGUCCACAGUCAAAUGCAUAAAAACAACAAAAAAGCAAAAAGAAAAACUAAAGGCAUCAAUCGAUAACUAAAUAGAAAAAAAAUUUAAUAUUGAUGAACUAAAUUAAAUAAAAAAAAUUAAAUAAAAAGAAGAAAAAACUUAUAAGAAGAAAAAAACUAAUGAAGAAAAAGAAAAAAAAUCUAAAUUAACUGGGUUAACCCGUCAAACCUGAGAUCCGUGUCAUGAAAGUCUGACAACUAAAUAAAAAAAAUUUAAUAUCAAUAAACUAAAUAAAAAAAUUAAUUUAAAAAAAAGGCAUCAGCCUUUUCACCGUGGAUUGCACUGUGCAGUCCAUAGUGAAAGGCAUGAAAAUAAAAAAAACAAAAAAAAACUAAAGGCAUCAGCCUUUUCACUGUGGACUGCAUAGAAUAUUAAAAGAUGAAAUCGGAAGAACAAAACUAAUGAGGAAAAAGAAAAAAAAAAUCUGAAUCAACUAGGUUAAUCCGUCAAAUCAAGUUAACCCGUCAAACUUGAAAGUGUGAUAACUAAAUAGAAAAAAGAUUUAAUAUUAAUGAAAUAAAUUAAAAAAAGAUUAAUUAAAAAGGAAAAAAGCAAAGAGAAAAAAGACCAACAGGAAGAAAAAAACCUAAUGAAGAAAAAGGAAAAAAAUCUGAAUUAAGUGGGUUAACUGGUCAAACCUGGGAUUCGUGUCAUGAAAAUCUGAUAAUUAAACAGAAAAAAUUUAAUAUUAAGAAACUAAAUUAAAAAAAGACUAAUUAAAAAAAGACAAAAAAAAACUAAAGGCAUCAGCUUUUUCACUCUUAAAAAGGAAAAGAGAGAAAAAUAAAAACAAAAGCAAACGCCACGGGUUAAUUUUUUUUUUCUUGCAUAAAAAAUAUUAAAAAAAACUAAGAUCUAAGAGUAUUAGGUCUUUCUGCAAAGAUAUGCCCAAGAGCCUUUGGUUUAGUUGCAACGCUUGACCCAAGAGUAAUAUUUAUAAUAAUAAUAAUAAUAAUAAACUUACAUGACUCAAGUUUAAGUGAGUCUGGCUGCAAGGUCGUGUCAUAAAAGUGUGAUGAUUAAAUAUAUUAAUUAAAAAGAAAAAAACCAACAUGAAGAAAAAAACUAAUGAAGAAAAAGAAAAAAAUAUGAAUUAACUGGAUUAACCCUUCAAACCAGGUUAACCCGUCAAACCUGAGAUUCAUGUUAUGAAAGUUUGAUAACUAAAUAGAAAACAAAAUUGACGGGUUAACCUGUCAAGCCUGGGAUACGUGUCAUGAAAGUCUGAUAAUUAAAUAGAAAGAAAUUUAACAUUAACAAAAUAAACUAAACGAAAAAAAAUUAAUUUAAAAGAAAAAAAGUAAAAAAAAAAUUCUAGGUUAACUCAUCAAACCAAAUUAACCCAUCAAAUCCGGGAUCCGUGUCAUGAAAGUCUGAUAACUAAAUAAAAAAAAUAACAUUAACAAACUAAAUUAAACAAAAAAAAUUCAUAAAAGAAAAAAAAACACAGAAAAAAAACAAAAAAAACAUAAAGGCAAAAAAAACAAAAACAAAAUUAAGUGAGAAUUACUGAUGUGCUUUGCCAAGCUUUGCAACAGAAAUCUCAAGACAUUUUAAAUGCUAUGCAUUUGCUGACUACCAUAAAGACUUUAAUUCAGAAGUUAAGAGAUGAUGGAUUGGAAACUCUUUUAGAACAAGUGACAUCAUUUUGUAAGCAUAAAAACAUUGAAGUUCCUGAUAUGGAUGCUUGUUUUUCUAGUGUGGGACGAUCUCGCUGUAAAACAAAAUCAAUAACAGUUGAGCAUCACUAUCGAGUUGAUAUAUUUAUAGCUAUCAUUGAUCAAUAGUUGCAAGAGCUAAAUAAUAGAUUCUAUGAGCAGGCGAUCGAGCUUCUUAAGUUGAGCAUAGCUUUAGAUCCUAAAAAUAACUAUAAAUUAUUCAGUGUUGAAGAUAUAUGCUAACUUGUUGACAAGUUCUAUCCUGAAGACUUUUCUGACCAAGAAAAAACUCAUUUGAGAUUUCAGUUGCAGCAUUAUGAGCUUGAUGUACCCAAUCAUCCAAAGUUAAAGAAUAUGUCAUCGAUUGCUGAUUUAUGUCAAGGACUGGUUGAAAUAGAAAAAUCAACAAUUUAUCUACUCAUUGAUAAGUUGAUUCGACUUAUUUUGACUCUUCCUGUUUCGACAGCAACUACUGCACGAGCUUUUUCAGCGAUGAAGAUUGUUAAAACAAGACUUCGCAAUCGGAUGGAGGAUGAUUUUCUUGCAAAUUAUUUGAUUGUCUAUAUAGAAAAAGAAAUUGCUGAAAGAUUCACAAUUGAUAUGAUAAUCGAUGAUUUCUACUCCAUGAAAGAAAGACAAAAACAAUUAAAAUAAAUAUGUAAGAAUCAUUCUUUAUUACUUUUUAUUUUAUUUAAAAGUUUUAUCAAACAUAAAUAAUGUAUCGCUUUAGCUAAUGUUUCUUAUAUAUUUUGUAUGUUUAUAUUUGAUAGGUACAAAAACCAACAAAAUUAAAGUGAUGAAUACAUUAUGAAGAUGAAAUUAACUUCAUAGCUUUGACUUAAUUUGAUAUUUGCUUUAAACAUCUUAUCUUAUACAAAAAUCAUAAUAUGUUUGUAAUUACUUUUUUGAAUAAAACUAAAUCAUGUCGUUUUUGUUUUUGUUUUUAUUUUUAUUUUUAUGUAAAGUAAAUUUUUAAAUAAAUUAUAUCUUUUAUUAUUUUAACCCCCAUUCAAAUAAUCCCAGCCCCUGACCGCAAUAACAAUCAAAAUAAAAUCUAAUUCUACCGGCUGCUAAGAAUACUAAAAUAGUGUAAAUUUUGACUUAAUUCAAUUAUUAGAAUUCGGGGCAGAUAACAGUGUUGAAGAAAAUGUCAGAAAAGUAGGGUAAACAGUACAAAUACCUUGGAUGAUGGUGACUAACGCCGUUUGUUUACGCGGGCGCGGGUGCGGUUGCCUUUUAAUUAAUAAAUAUCGGUAGUUGGAGACUUCUUGUUCUCGAAAAGAAAUAGUUAAUAGUGCCAAUAAUUAAUCUGCUCUCAACUUGCUACAAGCUGUCAUUACUCAUUACCAAAAUAUUAAAGAAACAAAUAUUUCCUAUUAGUAGAAAAGCGAUCUAAUAAAGCGAUUGUUCAGUUGACGUUAUUGAAUUGCUUUUUUAUAAAAAGUUAAUUUUUAAAUAUUUAUAGAUUAUUUUAUAUAUAAAUUUAAAAAAAAUCUUAAAAAAUUUAAAAAUAUAUUUUAAUAUAAUUAAAAAAAACAUUUGAAAAACAAUUAAUAGUAUAGUCUCAGGUCUCAACCACCCAAAAUAUACAUUUGAAAAACAUUUUAUAUACCUUGGAUUAAAUUGUGUUGUAGGUUCCACACCAUUUAAAGCUUGCAAAGAAGGAUUUAAAACACAAUCACGCUAAAGAUUUGCAAUCCAAUAUAAUAUGAAAUAAAACCCCAUUGCAUCACCGGACAUGUGAUCAAUAAUAUUAAAAUACUGUAAAUUUUGAUUUAAUUCAAUUAUUAGAGCUUGAGGCAGCGUGACAAUGUGAAAGAAAAUGUCAGAAAAUCUUGGAUGAUGGUGACCAUAUCAGUAAUUUGAGACAGCAAGUUCUCGAAAGGUAAUAGUUGAUGGUACCAAAAAUUAAACCAGCUCUCAACUCGCUACAAAUAGCUGCCAUGGCCUUUCGUUCUACAUUAUAUUUCUUUUUUUACUUUCAUGGAAUCCUCUUUGCCUUCCACCCCAAUCUUGGAUUCUGGUGAAAGUGCAGAGAGGAAAAAUGAAGCAAAAAAUUACAAUGAAGUAAUGUACACCCUUCCAAAAGUUAAAGGCUUGAGGGGGAAUGAUUAUUACCUGUACCAAGGCUUUUGGUACUCUUCCUUCUUCUUGGAAGGACUCAUGUCUGUUCAAGAGCACUUCAAUCCUCAAUCCACUGAUAUAUUUCUCACCAGUUCUCCAAAAACUGGCACAACUUGGCUUAAGGCCCUCGCUUUUGCUAUUCUUACACGAUCCCGUUUAAGUGGUUCAACAACUAGUUCUUUACUUACCAAGAUGCCACAUGACUGUGUUCCUUUUUUGGAAUAUCACCUUGCUCAAAACCCAAGUAAUCGGGACUUGGCAAUUCCCCUGCUAUCUACUCAUGUUCCUUACAGUUGUUUACCUAAAUCUAUCAUUUCUUCUAGUUGCAAGAUUAUUUACAUUUGCAGGGACGCAAAGGAUGCUUUUGUUUCUUUGUGGUGCUUUUUUCCGCGCAUCAAAUGUCGAAAAAUGUUGAACCUCUUCCUCUGGAAGAGGCCUUUGAGAUGUUUUGCAACGGAAUUUCAGUCUUGGGACCAUAUUGGGACCAUGUUUUAGGGUAUUGGAGAGCAAGAUUUGAGUUCCCUGAGAAGAUAUUGUUCUUGACAUACGAGGAAAUGAAGAUAGACACCGCUGCUCAUGUUAAGAAACUAGCUGAGUUCAUGGGUUGUUCUUUCACCUUCGAGGAAGAGGAGGAAGGGGAGGUGCAAAAGAUAAUAAGCAUGUGUAGUUUUGAGAAGUUGAGCAACUUUGAGGUGAAUAAAAAUGGGAAGCACCGUCCCGUCCGGACACAUCAAUUGCUAUUCAAAAUAGUUUAUACUUUAGGAAAGGUGAGAUAGGCGACUGGGCAAAUCACUUGACACCUGAGAUGGGAGCGCGUCUAGAUGACAUAAUGGAGCGGAAGCUCAAGGGUUCAGGCUUGAAGCUGCCCAGGUGACCGUGCCUGGGGUCCCAUUUGCAUAUGAUUAUUGCCGAAGUGGGUUCAUCAAAAGGUGUUAUCAGGAUGUCGUGAAACAGCAACUGUGUAUCCCAAUAAAUACCCUCUCUGUUCAUAGCAAGUAUUCACAUUUUGUGAAUCUUCCAUGUCAAUAAGCAAUAUUCUUUUGUGAAUCUGUGUUUGUGACUUUCAUUGAUUUCCUUGCAUGUUUGUAAGAAUUCAAAAUGGGAUUCGUUUUUUUUUUUUAUUUAACACAAGUGCAUGCAUUCCAUUCAUCAGUUUGAUAAAAAAUAAAUUUACUCUAAUAUAUAAUAUUAGAGUGUUUUCUUCACAGAAAUUGCAGUGUGUUUUUCUUCACAGCUAUACAUGUUUGAAAAGAACCGAGACAACCAUACAUGAGGGUGGAGCAAAGACCAACCGAGACAACCAUCCAUUAAGAUUGUUGAAUUGCAGAUCAAAUGAACGUAGGCGGCACAUCUACUGAAAGGAUCUCGAAAUGCCUUGUAAUUGGUUAAAAUAAAAGAUCAAGAUCUGUAGGAGAACUCGUGUUUUCCACUCCUAAAAUAAGCCCAGUUGCCGGCUUCAUUUGCAACAGAGACACAUAAAGAAUCUGAAAGCAGUUCUUAUGCACUAUCAGCAAAAUAAUUUGACCAGUCAGAAUGAUUUUUUUCCCCCUUACUAGGCUCAGAUCACAAUCCUUCUUACUUCAAACAAAUCUUUUGGAACCGAUAUGUCGAGGGAUGGCUUGAUUUAUACCGGAGAUUUUGAUGGAAACUUAAAGAAGCGUGGCUUAAUUAUACCUUGGAUGCGCAAAUUGAUUACAGGGAAAAAAUGACAGAAAGUGAGUUGCAGGGAAUGAAAAAGGCAUUUGUAAACUCAACACCUUUCAGGGCAUCGUUCCUUGGUUUACUCCCUUUUAUUUCUUAUUUUGUUUUUCCUGCCAUUGUCUAAGUUUUUCUAACUCGCAGUCUGGUCUCUGCAGAGAAUGAGACAGCAAAAACGCUUUAAGAGAAGAUAUUCUCCGGCAACGGCAUCAAACAGAAAAGUCUGACAUCAACUAAGUGCGUGUUUGACACUCCGGUUAUGUUUACAUAAAAAACAUCGUUGUCAUGUGUUUGGUUACAGUCUAAACAUAAUUUUCUGUUUGUGAGACCCGUUAUCAUUUGCUUUUAAACCGCAAGAUAACCAAAAGCAACUUCAAGCUGCCUUUUGUGUUGAGUUGCAAACUUUAUAAACAAAGGCCACAAGAAAAAGAGCAGAAACAUAGCAGUGAAUAGUAAACAGUGGAGAGUAGCUCCCUCUCACCACCGGCAUCCACCGUUUCCACCGCCAGCCACUGCUCUUCCUCUUCCCCUUCUCCUUCUCCUUUAUCUUCUGCAUUGUCCACUGUUCACGUUGCAUGUGAACAGUGGAGAGCAGCUCACCACCGGCCUCCGCUGUUUCCACCGCCAGCCACUACUCUUCCUCUUUCCCUUCCCCUUCUUCUUCUUCUUCUACAUUUUCCACUGUUCACAUGAACAGUGGAGAGCAUCUCCACUAUUCAUGGCCGGAUUGGGUCUGACCCAAACCUAAAUGCAUUGGACUGGGUCCGACCAAGUAAAAUAAAAAAAUCUAAAAACAUUUCUUAGAUAUUGUGUUUUAUUUGAAAAACUAGUGUUUAAAAUUAUUCAAUGACACUAUAUAAUUAUAUUAGAAGGAGAUCGCAUGAUGACAUAGCAUUUGCAGAAUUUGAUUGCAAUCCCAAUUUUGUUCCUAAUGAUAUUUUACCUGAUGUGAUGAUAUUUUACCUGAUGUUGGUAUACGUUCAAGAAGCCAUGAAAACUGUAGUUCUUGUCGGAUGGAUUUCGUACGUGAUUGAAUUGCAAAUAGUUUAAUAAAACAAUAAAAAAUACUUUAUAUAAAGUAUUGUUUAUUUCAUGAUUUAAUAGCAGUAGUUAAAUCUAUAAUAUUUCAAUUAAAAACCAUCAAUAUUAAUAUAUGUUUUUUUUAAUUAUUUUAUAACCUUAAUUUGAAAAAUAUUCUUUAAACCAAACACAUUAAACUACUUUUUGUUCAACCUCAAUUUCAACCACAAUUUUAACCAAAUAUAUAUUUUUUCAAACCAAUCUCAACUAAAAGUAAUUUUUAUAAAACAACUUUUUCAAACUAUAACCACAACAGCUACCACAAUACCAAAUACACAUAAAAAAAACUGUAAUGAUAAGCAAGUUAAAGUGCCACCAUUGAUUUAGGAUCUGCUUUAGAUCUUAUAAGGUGAAAGUAAAACACAAGGAAAUGCAUGCAUGCACACCACUAAUCUUUGAUUCUGGCGAGAACAGUGAUGACUACACUCAGAACCAUAUAGAAUUACAUUCCAAGAUGAAGAAAUUAAUAACAGAGCAGUGCUAUAAAGCUAAAUGUGAGAACCAAAGAUUAAUAAGCAAUGCUGAAAAUUUUAUCAUGCAUAAGAUGAGAGAAGCACAGGACAGAUUUUAUCAAAUCUAUAGUUUUUCUUCAAUAAUAAUAAUAUUUUUUAAAAAUUUAAUAAUAAUAAAAAAAAAAAACUCAUGUUCCUUGGCUCUUUCUCUUGCCAAACUGAAGCUACCAUAGUCAAAUCCAAGUAACUUAGAUGUCACGCUCUUGCUAAACCCAAGUUAUUUGGGUAUGACAUCUCAUGCUGGACUCAUAGCAUUCCAGAUCAAAGGUGUUGAUAUCUAACAAUAAUACCUCACCCGAGCCCUAAGAUGUGAUUGCUUUUCUAGACCCGAGGGCCAAGGCACCAAGACACUAUUCACUAUAAGUCAAGUCAAUGAAUCAAUCAAUCGAUUUUAAAGAUCAAGUUUUUUUUUUAAUAGAGAAACAAAACUUUUAUUAACAUUGAAAUAACUCUUAAAAUCUUAAUAAAAUUAAUUUGAAGUAAAAAUAAUAUUAAAAGAAAUAUUCAGAAGCACUUUUUGAUUGUAAAAUCAAACACACUAAAAUCAUGUAGAUUUUCAUUUAGACAUUAAAAUUCAAGAAGAAAUUAAGUUCACAGUACUAUUAAUUCAAUCGAUGAAGGAUUAGACCCAACUACUUUAGGGCCACCAUUGACAUUGAUUACUUUGAAUAAUUUUAAUUUAUAGGCAUAAAAAAUUAAUACAUAUCUUUAAGAGGAUCAAUUUUAGAUUAUCUCUCUCUCUCUCUCUCUAUUUUUUUUUUGGUUUUCAAAUAUUUGACAUUUUCGUUUAGAUAAGCUCUAGUGUGUGUUUUUUUAAGAUUAUUUUAAAUCAUGUUUCUUGAAAUGUCAAAAACAUUUCAUGGAUUAAUUUAACUUAAUAACGCCAAAGAAUUAGGAAUUAAAACUGACAAUUUCCACCAUGUAAGAGUACCUAAUUGAAAAUUUACUUUCUUAUCAUUUACCUCAAUUAAGCGGAAGCAUGAUCAUGAGAAGGGAUUUGGAGAAAGAAUUAUAAACAGAGAAUAAGAGAAAAUGUAAUGUGUAUAGAUUUUCUUAAUGAAUUAAUUAUGAUACAACAGAAGCUCAUAUAUAUAUAUAUAUACAUUCUAAACUAAUCAGUUAUGAAAUGUUAUUACAAAUAUAAUUUGAAUUUCAAUUUUAAAAUCAUGAUUAGUGCAGGUUUAUCAAUGCAGCAGAAUAUCCAUCAUAAACAAGAAGUUCACAGUUACAAAGUUUGAAUCUUUGUAACUGUAACUCUCUUUUGAAACUCUCUUCUUGGUCUUCAAUAUCCGUUAGCUAGCUGGAGAUGUAACAGUUACAAAGUUUGAAUCUUUGUAACUGUAACUCUCUUCUUGGUCUUCAAUGUCUGUCAGUUACAAAGUUUGAAUCUUUGUAACUGUAACUCUCUUAUGCUUAACAUUCCCCUGCAAACUGAUGGGGAUAGGAAUCACCAUCAAUUUGGACCGUAAAAACAUAAACCUUGCUGUAGUAUGACCUUUGGUGAAGACAUCUGCAAUCUGGUCAUAUGUUGAAAUAUAUCGUACAAGAAUAUCCUUAUUAAGAACUUUUUCACGGAUGAAGUGAUAAUCCACCUCUAUGUGCUUCGUUCGGGCAUGAAAAACAGGAUUAGAGGCAAGAGAUAUUGCACCUACAUUAUCACACCAUAGUGUAGGAGGUGACGACAAUGAAAUGCCAAGAUCUUGCAAUAACAUUCGAAGCCAAUAUAGUUCAGCAGUGACAAGAGCCAUGGAUCGAUAUUCGGCCUCAGUACUGGAUUUAGACACAACACUUUGUUUCUUUGCACUCCAGGAUAUGAGAUUUUGGCCUAGAAACACAAUAUAACCACUUGUAGAUUUUCUAUCAUCAGGAUUCCCAGCCCAAUCUGCAUCACAGAAAGCAUCUAAUGUUGUUGUCGAUUGAGUGUAGUGAAUACCAUAAUCAAUUGUUCCUUUCAAGUAACGAAGAACUCUUUUGGUAGCAAUCCAGUGUGGUUCUCGUGGAGCAUGCAUGAAUUGGCAUAAUUGGUUCACUGCAUAGCUGAUGUCAGGUCUUGUUAAAGUGCAAUAUUGAAGAGCACCAAUAACUUGAUGAUAUUCAGUUGGAUCAUUCAAUAUCCGUUAGCUAGCUGGAGAUGUAACAGUUACAAAGUUUGAAUCUUUGUAACUGUAACUCUCUUAUGCUUAACAUUUGGGAGGCACUUAGAUUAGGCUCUUCUCUAGUCUUGAGAAGCAAAACCAAUAGAGACGUGAUUGCGCACUCCCUGAGCUAUAUAGUAAGUGGCUGCAAACAAAUUGUCAGCACCAAUUCAGGUCCGGAAAAUUAAAGCAUUGAAGCAUAAAAGGUGACCUAACCUAAUUAAGCAAAUUACUACUUAUUCCAGCAUCACCUAGGAGUGAGACAGCCAGCCCAUCCAGUGUCUACAUGGUAAGGGAAUAAUUCCUUCAAGAAUGCAGAGAAAAUUAUACUUGCAAUACAACUAUAAACGAGAUGGUACAGUGCGGAAGGCAAGAUGUUAAAUCAAUUGAUCUUAUUAUAAUACUGUGAAAUAUGAUCAGGACAAAAAAAUAAAUAAAGAAAGAAAGAGUUGUUUAUUUUACAAUGAUCGAUAUGAUGCUUCUUUGCAUGUGGAAUCUUCGUCAAAGACUUGUUGAAAAUGCCAAAUUGUGAUCCACUUUUGGCUGUGUCAAAUGCAUGGGUGGGGCUUCACACAGAGCUAUUACCCCUUGUGUAAACUCAACGCCAGUUUUCAUGAGUUCUUUGGGAUUCUAACAUAGUAAAAAAAAGAAAGAUAAAAUAACAAAGUGUAAAGAAUAUUUAGUGAAAUAGAUAUUCGUGAUUAAUCAGUAGCAAUUAUUAUAUGCUGGCUCUCUCGGGUUUACUUGACAGAAGAUUUAUUAAAAAGAGUUGAUAAAGGAGAAAGAAAAGAAAAGAAAAUCUUCAAGGUAUAUCAAAACUCUGAUAAUAAUAUUAUUGGUAUUGUUAAAAAAAUCUCGACAAGACAAAUCGAAAAAUAACAAUGAAGGUCAUCAAUGACGAUAAAAAUAAGUCAUACGAGUGGCCCAAGAUAAGUGAGUUUUAAUACUUUUGAACAGCUUGUAUGAUUCAUUUUAUUCACUAUUUAUAAUCUUUUUUGAUGCUGUUAAAUUCAUCUUGUAAUGAUGUUGAUAAUGUUAUCAUUAUAAUUUCAAUGUAUUUUUAUUUUUAUUAUUAUUUUUUGUUUUGCUCUCUCUCCUCUCUCAUUGUAAUUUAUGAAGAGUAAGAGAGGGGGAAAAAAAAAACCCUAGUCUUCCAAUUUAAUCUGGCUGAAUACUACUAUCUCAAUCUUAUUCACUACUUUGUCAAAGCAAAGUAGAUUUUUCCUUAAAUAAGAUCUAAUCCACCGGCGGAUAGGUGAUCAAGAAUAUUAAAUUAGUGUAAAACUUGAUUUAAUUCAACAUUAUAAUUAGAGGUGCUAUAAUAAUGUGAAAAAAAGAAUAAAAAAACUAGAUGAUGGCGACCACAUAUCAAUAAUUCCAGACAUCACGUGGAGCACUUUCAUCAUCAUUAUUAUUAUUGGUAUAAUAAUGUUUGUUGUAUUAUUUUUUAAUUGUUAAGUUGUUUACUAUAUGUUAAAAUUUCAAGAUCUUCAAAGAUUGGGAAGAUCGGAUCUAAAGUUACUAUGGGACUGUCUUUAUUUUCCUAUUUGGAUUUUUUUAUUUAUAUUAAGAAUUUAAAUUUAAUUAGUAUUUUAUUAUUUAAAAAUUUUAAUGGUAAAUUGAUUCUAUUAGUUAGGUAAAUUUUAAAUAUAAAUUAUUUUUCUAUACAAAAUUUUAAAUCUAGAACUAAUAUAAAUAAAAAUAUUUAGUUUAUUUUUGUUCGAGGAUUCAUAUUAUUAUUUAAAUUUUUUUAUAAAUAUUUAGAGAUUUUUUCUAAUUUCCUAUGGUGUUAGGGAUUAUAACCUUAAGGUUUGGUUUGAAAUAAUGAUGACAGUUAUUUCUUAAAGUGUUUUUCACUUGAAAAUACAUUAAAAUAAUAUUUUUUUUAUUUUUUAAAUUUUUUUUUGAUAUCAGCAUAUCAAAACAAUUCAAAAACACCAAAAACUUAAUUUGAAAAAAAAUCAAAAUUUAUAAAAACCCCGGUUAAAAUGUUUUACCAAACACUUCUUAGUUUUUAAUAUUAAUACAUCAAAACAAUCCAAAAAUAUUAAUUUAAAAUUUUUAAAAACUCCGGUUGCGUUUGUAAGAUGUGUUGCGGCUCUCAACUUGCUACAAUGGCCUUUCUUUAAUAUUUUAUUUACACCAUUCAUGGAACCCUCUUUGCCUUCCACACAAAUCCCGGAUUUUGGUGAAACUGCUAAGAGGAAAAAUGAAGAGCUUUCCAAAGGCCAUGCUAAAACUACAAAGAAGUGAUCUCUACCUUUCCAGAAGUUAAAGGCUUUUGGGACGUUCCGCUCUUCUUGGGAAGACUCAUGUCAGUUCAAGAACACUACAAGCCUCAAUCCACUGAUAUAUUUGUCGCCAGCUUUCCAAAAACGAAGGAAAUCUUUGGUUAAUGUUCUCUGAAUCUCUCCUUUUCUCCUUCAAGAGUGAAAUUUAUGUGCCUUUCGUACCUUUUUACGUUAGAACAUUUCAUUUGUUCUUGUUUUCUAAAUUGAGUCUUUUCUAUGCGUUUUAUUAUUUUAUUUAUUGGGUAUUUGAGAGUGUAGUAAUAGUUAUAAUUUAAAGUGUUUUUAUUCAAAAAUAUAUUAAAAUAAUAUAUAUUUUUAAUUUUUUAAUAUUCAUCUUUUGACAACAUCACUCCAAAACAUUAGAAAACAUAAAAAAAAAAAAAACAAUUAGAAAACAAUUAGAAAACGCAAGAUUGCAUCAAUGCUAAAUGCAAUAUAUAUAUAUAGGUGCGCGCGCGCGCGUGUGUGAGAGAGAGAGAGAUCCACCUGUGUGUGAAAUGCAUAGUGAUGUUCCACAGCGAGCCAUUAUCUAUUAUGUAAAAUCUCUGAGAAAUGUCAUAGAUCAAUUGGUCGAUAUAGCAAAUUGAUAGGUUAAAGCUGCUCAUAAUCAAUACCUCUAAAAGAUUAUCUUUGGUGGAGAUGAAAACUUUUUGAUAUGUAAAUAAGUAUUUAAAAAAAAAUUAAAUAUUCUAUAAAGAGAUGUUCUGAAAAUACAAAUGCAGUAGAGAAUUGGAGAUUGUGAAUCUUUAUUAUGAAGGUCUCAUGAUAUAUUUAUAGCUCGAAUCUUGUCAUUUUGUGAAAAUAAGAGUUUGCAGUGUAAUUAACCUGAUAACAUUUAAUGAGGAAUAAAUAUCAUUUACAUGAUGGGAAUAUGGUGGGUCCUCGAAGGAGUUUUAUACACCUUAAAAGGUAUCAGAAAAUUAGAGUUUAAGAUAUCAAGUGUAGCUGAGCUUAUAGAGAUCAAGUUCUUUCUUGAGAUUAAAUCCAAGGGAGGUUUGUCAUUCCCCUGGACAUGCCAAGGAAGAAUGGUUAUUAUCUUGGACUUGGUUGGUUGCCAAAUCCAAGCAUCUUGGGCAUGACAUGCGUGCCAGAUCCACACUACCUUGAAGUUGGAGCACUACUAAGUCCAAGCGCCUCGGGUCUGACAUGCAUGCCAGACUUAUACUACGCUGGACUUGGUGCAUUACUAAGUCCAAAUGCCUUGGGUCUGAUAUGCCUGUUAGACCUAUAUUAUCUUGGGCUUGACGCAUUACUAUAUUCAAGCACCUUGAACUUAAUUAAUUGUCAAGUCCAUGCAUCUUAGAUUUAGAUCUAACAUAUACACUAGACUCAUAUUACAUUGAAUCUAGCGCAUUACAAAGUUAUAAUGCCUUGAAUUAAGUAUAUGUGCCACAUCCAUACAUUUUAAAAAACCAAACGAAAACUAAAUAAAAAGUUGACUCAUCGCUAAUCUAUAAAUACUAUCUACAUAAUGGCCUUAGUUGAUAUCUUCUACCGCUUACUACAUUUACUUGAAUAAUGAAAAUGUUUUUUUUUUUUAAUGGAAAAGAGAUUUUAACUCCAUCUUCAAUUACUAUAUAAAUGUUUCCUUGGGUUUUGAAAACGCAAUCAUGCUAAAAAUUUAUUAUCUAAUAUAAAAUAAAAUGUAUUUGUUUUUAUAUUUUAAAAAUGUUUUUUUUUUAAUUUUUUAAUUUUCAUCUUGUUUUGAUGUGUUAAUAUUAAUAAUAAAUUUUAAAAAUAAAAAAAAUAUUAUUUUAAUAUAUUUUUUAAAUUAAAAAUAUUUUAAAAAAUAACUAUUACAACAUUAACGAAUAAGAUUUAAUAUAAAAAACAUUCUAAUUGCAUCAGCUGAGAGGUGAUCAACAAUACCGCAUUCCCGAACUUCACAUCCCUAUAUUAAUGGAUUGUGUUGUGGGCUCCACGCCAUUUAAAGCUUGUAAGAGAAACCACACCUCUAAAUAGAAACCACACGAUCACGCUAAAAGAUUUGCUAUCGAAUAUAAUAUGAAAUAAAACCCAAUUGCAUCAGCGGACAUGUGAUCAAUAAUAUUAAAAUAAGGUAAUAGUUGAUGGGCCACAAAUUAAACCAGCUCUCAACUCGCUACAAAUAGCUGCCAUGGCCUUUCAUUCUACGUUAUAUUUUCAUUUUUUACAUUCAUGGAAUCCUCUUUGCCUUCCACCCAAAUCUCGGAUUCUGGUGACAGUGCAGAGAGGAAAAAUGAAGCUAAAAAUUACAAUGAAGUGAUGUCCACCUUUCCGAAAGUUAAAGGCUUGAAUGGGUAUGAUUAUUACCUGUACCAAGGCUUUUGGUACGCUCCCUUCUUCUUGGAAGGACUCUUGUCUGUUCAAGAGCGCUUCAAUCCUCAAUCCACUGAUAUAUUUGUCGCCAGUUGUCCAAAAACUGGCACAACUUGGCUUAAGGCCCUCACUUUUGCUAUUUUCACACGAUCCCGUUUAAGUGGUUCAACAACUAGUUCUUUACUUACCAAGAUGCCACAUGACUGUGUUCCUUUUUUGGAAUAUCACCUUGCUCAAAACCCCAGUAAUCGGGACUUGGCAAUUCCUCUGGUAUCUACUCAUGUUCCUUGCACUUGUUUACCUAAAUCUAUCAUUUCUUCUUGUUGCAAGAUUAUUUACAUUUCCAGGGACGCAAAGGAUGCUUUUGUUUCUUUGUGGUACUUUCUUGCCAGGCUGCAAAUGUCGAAAAAUGUUGAACCUCUUCCUCUGGAAGAGGCAUUUGAGUUGUUUUGCAAUGGAAUUGCAAAUUUUGGACCAUAUUGGGACCAUGUUUUAGGGUAUUGGAGAGCAAGCUUCGAGUUCCCUGAUAUUGUUCUUGACAUACGAGGAAAUGAAGAAAGACACCGCUGCUCAUGUUAAGAAACUAGCUGAGUUCAUGGGUUGUUCUUUCUGUUGCAUUAAACUCAAUCUAGAAGGUUAAGGAAGGCAACCACCACUUGCAGCCACUAGCUGUCACCGCCUAGCCGCCAGCCGUCUUCAUACUUGAAAGUUGAAUUAUCUUGUUUUUGAAUUCUGUGUAUAAAUAGAUAGCUAAGUGGAUGUUAUUCUGUGUGGAAAGAGAAGAAAGAAACACUAGAGAGAAAGAGAGAGGGAGUGUGUAGCUUUUGUUUAAUUAUUGUAAGCUUUUAUUGUUGAAAUAAAACAGUGUGUUUUAUCUCUUCUGAGUGUUUCAAAGCCACCACCAGUGGUUUCUCCCACCAACAAUUGGUAUCAGAGCCUCGUUCGUCACAAAACACAAGUAUUUUGGGAGAUACACGAAUUUUCAAAGUUGUCAAAAACAAUUUUUGAUCAUUCCACAAUGUAGAGCUCAUCCAUACGAACUCACUGGUGCAAAAAUCAGCUUCAUCGGAGCCCGAGGUGAUCCCCACGCGCCUCCUGAAAUUCCGGUAACUGUAGCCCAGUCUCACCCACGCGCUCCAGAGGUUGAAGACGCCAGAGGUUGAAGACGAGUGUCGUCCACGCGCGCCAUAUUCGAGCCGAUCCCCAGCCGAGCCGAUCUUUAGCCUCAGCCGAGCCGAUAGAAUAUUCCCCAGAAUAUUCCCGGUUCAACCCCAGCGAACCGCCUAACGUCCAGAAUCGGUUUUCAGACCGGUUCAGCCUAUUUCUGACCCAUUUUCAUCCAAGUCAGGCCGGUUCCCUACUGUUUUGAGCAUUCUGGAUCCAUCUACGGUGUCUGUUUUGCCAAAUUCAACUCCCAGAAGGUGAUAUAGUCAUUCAAAAAGCAAAAUGACUACAGAAAAUGCACAAACACUCAUCCCGAAGCUGACCAAAGACAACUAUGAUAGUUGGUGUAUCAGAUUGAAGGCAUUUCUUGGUUUACAAGAGUGUAUAGAGAUUGUGCAAUAUGGUUAUGAUGAACCAGAGUCUAAAGAAGUAGAAGAUACUUUAAAUGAGGCAGAAAAGCAAGUCCUCAAAGCAAAUAGAAAGAAAGACAACAAAGCAAAGACCAUAAUCUAUCAAGGUCUUGACGAAGCUAUAUUCGAAAUUAUUGCUUCCGCAGAAACAUCAAAAGAGAUAUGGGAGGCUCUCCAACAAAAAUACAAAGGUGCUGACAGAAUCAAGAAGAUUCGUCUCCAAUCUUUGCGAGGUGAGUUUGAAUUAUUGCAAAUGAAGGCCUUAGAAUCUAUUUUUGACUAUCACACAAGAAUUAUGGUGAUAGUCAAUCAGAUGAGAAGAAAUGGAGAAGCCCUCACAGAUGCUCGGAUUACAGAGAAAAUUUUGAGAUCCCUAUAUCCAAAAUUUUAUUUUGUUGUUGUCGUUAUUGAAGAGUCCAAAGAAGUGGACAAGUUGAUGGUGGAUGAGCUUAUGAGUUCUUUGCAAGCUCAUGAGCAAAAGAUCGUGAAAAGAAAUGGAGAUAAGGCAAUUGAGCAUGCCUUACAAGCAAAGUUGUCUCUCAAAGACAGAUAUGAGCAAGGGGAGACUUCAAUAAGUGGAUAUACCACUCAAGGAAGAAGUCCACAAAGACGAGGAGGAUUUCAGCAAUUCCAAGGAAGAGGAUCUUGGAAUACAGGUUUUAGAGGAAGAGGUGGCAGAUAUACCACUAGAGGAGGCCGAGGACAACAAUCAUUCACUCCUAAAGGAAGAGGAGGCGGUUACAAUAACCGUGACAAGAGGAAUAUCCAGUGUUAUAAGUGCAAUCAAUUUGGGCACUAUAGCAUUGAAUGUCAAAGGAAAGCUCCAUUAGAGGUACGUGAGCAUGCAAACUAUGCAGAGGAGGAUGCCAACAGCAGAGGAGCAGCUGCAUUAUUUGUCCAACAAGGACUUGACAAGAAUCAAGAGAAUAUUUGGUAUCUUGAUUCUGGAGCCAGCAAUCACAUGUGUGGCCAACGAGAUCUAUUUGGCGAUCUAGAUGAGACCAUACAAGGUCUAGUCACCUUUGGAGAUACAUCAAAAGUUCCAUUCAAAGGUAAAGGCAACAUCCCAAUCAAGUUGAAGAAUGGCGAUCAUAGCUACAUCGCCAAUGUCUACUAUGUCCCAGCCAUAAAGCAAAACUUGGUGAGCAUAGGUCAACUUCUAAAGAAAGGUUAUACACUUUUCAUGAAGAAUUGUCAUCUGACAGUUACAGACUACAAUGGGAGAUUAAUUGCCUAUGUGAAAAUGUCCAAGAAUAGGAUGUUUCCUUUAAACAUCCAAUAUGAUGCAGCAAAGUAUUUGAGUGCCAUCACCAACAGUGAAGAGUGGCUUUGGCACCUGAGGCUUGGACAUCUGAAUUUCACAAGUCUGAAGAUGCUAGCAAGCAAGAAGAUGGUCAAAGGUAUGCCCCACAUUGAUCAUCCAGAUGAAGUCUGUGAGAGUUGUGUCCUCAGCAAACAUCACAGAUCCAAUUUUGCCAAAGAAGUCAACUGGAAAGCAAACAAGCCACUGGAGUUAGUGCACACAGAUGUGUGUGGUCCCAUAAAGCCUAUGUCGACUGGACCAAAUAGGUACUUCCUUACUUUCAUUGAUGAUUUUAGCAGAAAGACGUGGAUAUACUUUCUGAAGAGGAAGUUAGAAGUGUUCAAUUGUUUUAAAGAUUUUAAAGCAAUUGUUGAGAAGCAAAGUGGCUAUAAGAUCAGAACCGUGAGAUCUGAUCAAGGUGGAGAAUAUACAGCAAAUGACUUUGAAGCCUUUUGUACACAACAAGGCAUCAAACAUCAGACAACACCAGCUUAUACACCACAGCUGAAUGGUGUAGCUGAAAGAAAGAAUCGAACGAUUCUUGACAUGGCGAGAAGUCUACUCAAAGCAAAGAAGCUGCCCAAACAAUACUAGGCUGAAGCUGUAUCAUGUGCAGUGUAUCUACUGAAUCGCUGCCCAACCAAAAGUUUGCAAGCUGUCACUCCACAAGAAGCAUGGAGUGGUCACAAACCAAGUGUUACUCAUCUUCGAGUCUUUGGUUGUGUGGCAUAUGCAAAGAUCCCAGAUGCAAGAAGGACCAAACUCGAUGAUAAAAGCGAGAAAUGCAUCUUUGUCGGAUAUGGUGAGAGAAAGAUGGGAUACAAGCUGUAUAAUCUCAUCACAAAGAAGGUAAUUAUGAGUAGAGAUGUUAUCUUUGAAGAAGAUAAAACAUGGCAAUGGAAGGAUGACCAAGAAGCAGUCAAAUGGAUCAGCACUGAUUUGAUCCUUGAAGAUGAAGUGGAAGUACCACCAGUACUUGCAGAAGGUCUGAUAUUACCGGCAGAUGAGCCACAAAGUUCGGUACACAGAUUCCCUGUAUUCAACAGGAGAAACACACCAGAAUCAUCAUCAGCAUCCUCAUCAGAAGGACCAAGAAGGAUGAGAAAUCUAGACGAGUUGUACGAUGUCAUGCAAGUCAUGGAAGAUACAACUCUAUUUUGUUUCUUUACAGAUACUGACCCACUUAGCUUCAAUGAAGUUAUCAAAGAAGAGAAGUGGAUAUAAGCAAUGGAUGAAGAAAUACAUGCUAUUGAGAAGAAUGACACCUGGAAGCUGACUAAUCUACUAGAAAACAAGAAAGCAAUAGGUGCCAAAUGGGUCUAUAAGACAAAGAAGAAUGCAAAAGGAGAAGUGCAAAGAUACAAAGCAAGAUUAGUAGCAAAAGGCUACAAAUAAAGAGAAGGCAUUGACUAUGGAGAAGUAUUUGCUCCAGUAGCCCGGCUAGAGACAAUCAGACUGAUGAUCUCACUAGCUGCACAACAUAGAUGGAAGAUCUAUUAACUCGAUGUGAAGUCAGCAUUUCUGAAUGGCUUCCUAGAAGAAGAGAUCUAUGUUGAACAACCACUUGGAUACAUCGAAGCUGAAAAUGACGGCAAAGUAUACAAGUUGAAGAAAGCUCUCUACGGUUUGAAGCAAGUUCCGCGUGCUUGGAAUACCAGAAUUGACAGGUAUUUUCAAGAAAAUGAAUUUGAAAAAUGUCCAUAUGAACACGCAAUAUAUGUGAAGAAAGAAGCAGAUAACAACAUAUUAUUUGUGUGCCUAUAUGUUGAUGAUUUGCUAUUCACCGGCAACAACCCAACCAUGUUUGAAGCCUUCAAGAAAAGCAUGGUACAAGAGUUUGAGAUGACAGACAUUGGUCUGAUGGCACACUUUCUUGGCUUAGAAGUGGUGCAGAAAGAAGAAGGGAUUUUUGUAUCCCAAAGCAGUUAUGCCAAAGACAUUCUUGAAAGGUUCAAGAUGGAAAGCUGCAAUCCGGUAUCAACUCCAGUUGAGAAUGGAGUAGAAUUGAGGAAGAGUAAAGUUGGAAAUGUUGAUCCAACUUACUUCAAAAGCUUAGUAGGAAGCUUAAGGUACUUGACAUGUACCAGACCGGAUAUACUCUACGGAGUUGGUCUUAUCAGCAGAUACAUGGAGACACCAGACCAGUCUCACUUGAAUGCAGCCAAGAGAAUUCUUCGCUACAUCAAAGGAACAAUCAAUGAAGGUAUGUUUUAUACCUCAAGUACAAACUUCAAUCUUGUUGGCUACUCGGAUAGUGAUUGGGGUAGAGAUCUGGAUGAAAGGAAAAGCACAACAGGGUUUGUCUUUUUCAUGGGAAAUACAUUUUUCACAUGGUCAUCCAAGAAGCAAUCGAUAGUAACGUUAUCAAGCUGUGAAGCUGAGUAUGUUGCUGCCAACUCAGCUGUAUGCCAUUUAAUAUGGUUAAGAAAUAUGCUGAAGCAUUUGGGAUUUCCUCAAGAAGAUCCCACAGAGAUUUAUAUUGAUAAUCGAUCAGCGAUUGCAUUAGCAAAGAACCCGGUGUAUCAUGAACGAAGUAAACACAUUGAUACACGUCAACACUUUAUCCGAGAGCAUAUAAAGAACAAAGAAGUCGAGCUGAUAUCCUGCAAGACAAAUGAUCAAGUUGCAGAUAUCUUUACAAAGCCAUUGAAGGGAGAAACAUUUAUCAGACUGAAGUUCAUACUUGGCGUGACAUCCCUCGAUUAAGUUUAAAGGGGGGAUUUGUUGCAUUAAACUCAAUCUAGAAGGUCAAGGAAGGCAACCACCACUUGCAACCACCAGCUGUCACCGCCCAGCCACAAACCGCCCAGCCGCCAGCCACUAGCUGUAUGCCGCCAGCCUCCAGCCGCCUUCACACUUGAAGGUUGAAUUAUCUUGUUUUUGAAUUCGUGUAUAAAUAGGUAGCUAAGUGGAUGUUAUUCUGUGUGGAAAGAGAAGAAAGAAACACUAGAGAGAAAAGAGAGGGAGUGUGUAGCUUUUGUUUAAUUAUUGUAAGCUUUUAUUGUUGAAAUAAAACAGUGUGUUUUAUCCCCUCUGAGUGUUUCAAAGCCACCACCAGUGGUUUCUCCCACCAACACUUUCACCUUAGAGGAAGAGGAGGAAGGGGAGGUGCAAAAGAUAAUAAGCAUGUGUAGUUUUGAGAAGUUGAGCAACUUGGAGGUGAAUAAAAAUGGGAAGCACCGUCCGGACACAUCAAUUGCUAUUCAAAACAGUGUAUACUUCAGGAGAGGUGAGAUAGGCGACUGGGCAAAUCACUUGACACCUGAAAUGGGAGCACGUCUAGAUGACAUAAUGGAGCAGAAACUCAAGGGUUCAGGCUUGAAGCUGCCGAGGUGAAUGUGCCUAGGGUCCCAUUUGCUUGUGAUUAUUGCCGAAGCGGGUUCAUCAAAAGCUGUUAUCAACAUCUCGUGAAACAGCAACUGUGUAUCCCAAUAAAUACCCUCUCUGUUCAUCUCUUGUAUUUCCCAGCAAGUAUUCACAUUUUGUGAAUCAUCCAUGUCAAUAAGCAAUGUUCUUUGUGAAUCUGUGUUUUUGACUUUCAUUCAUUUCCUUGCAUGCUUGUAAGAAUUAAAAAUUGGAUUCGUUUUUUUUAUUUAUUUAUUUAACACAAGUUCAUGCAUUCCAUUAAUCAGUUCGAUAAAAAAUAAAUUUAGUCUAAUAUAUAAUAUUAGAGUGUUUUCUUCACAGAAAUUGCAGUGUGUUUUCUUCAGUUAUACAUGUUUUAAAAGAACCGAGACAACCAUCCAUUAAGAUUGUUGAAUUGCAGAUCAAAUGAACGUAGGCGGCACAUCUGCUGAAAGGAUCUCGAAAUGCCUUGUAAUUGGUUAAAAUAAAGAUCAAGAUCUGUAGGAGAACUCGUGUUUUCCACUCCUAAAAUAAGCCCAGUUGCCGGCUUCAUGUGCAACAGAGGCACAUAGAGAAUCUGAAAGCAGUUUUUAUGCACUGUCAGCAGAAUAAUUUGAUCAGUCAGAAUGAUUCCCCCCCUCUAGGGCUCAGAUCACAAUUCUUCCUUGAAACAAAUCUUUUGGAACCGAUAUGUGGAGGGAUGGCUUGAUUUAUACCGGAGAUUUUGUUGGAAAAUUAAAGAAGCAUGGCUUAAUUUGUACCUUGGAUGCGCAAAUUGAUUAGAGGGAAAAAAUGACAGAAAGUGAGUUACAGGGAAUGAAAAAGGCAUUAGUAAACUCAACACCUUUCAGGGCAUCGUUCCUUGGUUUACUCCGUUUUAUUUCUUAUUUUGUUUUUCCUGCCAUUGUCUAAUGUUUUUCGAACUCACAGUCUGGUCUCUGCAGAGAAUGAGAAAGCACAAAUUCUUUAAGAGAAGAUAUUCUCCGGCAAUGGCAUCAAACGGAAAAGUCCGACGUCAACUAAGUGUGUGUUUGGUGUUGCGGCCGUGUUUACAAAAAAACAUCGUUGUCAUGUGUUUGGUUACGGUCUAAACACAAUUUUCUAUUUGUGGGACCCAUUACUAUUUGCAUUUAAACUGCAAGAUAACCGGAAGCAACUUCAAGUUGCUUUUUAUGAUUAGUUGCAAACUAUGUUAUAAACAGAGGCCACAAGAAAAAGAGCAGAAAUAGAGCAGUGAAUAGUGAACAGUAGAGAGCAGCUGCCUCUCACCACCAACCUCCACCGUUUUCACUGCCAGCCACUGCUCUUCCUCUUCCCCUUCUCCCUUUCACGUGAACUGUGGAGAGUGGAGAGCAGCUCACCACCGACCUCCGCUGUUUCCAUCGCCAGCCACUGCUCUUCCUUUUCCCCUUCUCCUUUUCACGUGAAUAGUGGAGAGUGGAGAGCAGCUCACCACCGACCUCUGCUGUUUCCAUCGCCAGCCACUGCUCUUCCUCUUCCCCUUCUCCUUCAUCUUUUACGUUCUCCACUGUUAAUGUGAACAGUGGAAAGCAGCUCAUUACCGGCCUCUGCCAUUUUCACCGCCAGCCACUGCUCUUCCCCUUCCCCUUCCCCUUCGUCUUCUGCAUUCUCCACUGUUCACGUUGCAUGUGAACAGUGGAGAGUAGCUCACCACCGGCCUCCAUUGUUUCCACCGCCAGCCAUUGCUCUUCCUCUUCCCCUUCUCCUUCUCCUUCAUCUUCUGUAUUCUCCACUGUUCACGUGAACAGUGGAGAGCGUCUCCACUGUUCAUGACCGGACCGAGUCAAACCCAAACCUAAAUGCAUUGGACCGGGUCCGACCCAAUAAAAUUAAAAAAAAUCCAAAAAAAUUUCUUAGAUAUUGUGUUUUAUUUGAAAAACUAGUGUUUAAAAUUAUUCAAUGGCACUACAUAAUUAUAUUAGGAGAUCGCAUGAUAACGUAACAUUUGCAUAAUUUGAUUGCAAUCCCAAUUUUGUUCCUAAUGAUAUUUUACCCAAUGUGAUGAUAUUUUACCUGAUGUUGGUGCACAUUCAGGAAGCCAUGAAAACUAUAGUUCUUGUCGGAUGGAUUUCGUACGUGAUUGAAUUGCAAAUAGUUUAAUAAAACAAUAAAAAAUACUUUAUAUAAAGUAUUGUUUAUUUCAUGAUUUAAUAGCAGUAGUUAAAUCUAUAAUAUUUCAAUUAAAAACCAUCAAUAUUAAUAUAUGUUUUUUUUAAUUAUUUUAUAACCUUAAUUUGAAAAAUAUUCUUUAAACCAAACACAUUAAACUACUUUUUGUUCAACCUCAAUUUCAACCACAAUUUUAACCAAAUAUAUAUUUUUUCAAACCAACCUCAACUAAAAGUAAUUUUUAUAAAAACAACUUUUUCAAACUAUAACCACAACAGCUACCACAAUUCCAAAUACACACAAAGAAAACUGUACUGAUAAGCAAGUUAAAGUGCCACCAUUGAUUUAGGAUCUGCUUUAGAUCUUAUAAGGUGAAAGUAAAACACAAGGAAAUGCAUGCAUGCACACCACUAAUCUUUGAUUCUGGCGAGAACAGUGAUGACAACCAUAUAGAAUUACAUUCCAAGAUGAAGAAAUUAAUAACAGAGCAGUGCUAUAAAGCUAAAUGUGAGAACCAGAGAUUAAUAAGCAAUGCUGAAAAUUUUAUCAUGCAUAAGAUGAGAGAAGCAUAGGACAGAUUUUUCCCUCAAAUGAUUAACUAGAAUACGAGUUGCACUUCAAUUUUAAAGCUGAAAGAUGAAACAAUCAUACAAGCUCACACCUCUAUAACAGAGUGACAGUUCAUGGUGACCUCAAAGACUGCAUCAAGUCCUCCAAGCUCUCGUAACUUUUCCUUAAAGUCCCCCCCCAGUCUUCCUUGCCAUGCCAGAUGUAUCUGAAUGAAUGCAACCCAUACAGUGAAAUAAAUAAGCAAUCAGAAAAGGAGAGAGAGAGCUGUGUGAAUAAAGAAUUGUCACAAAACUAGAUGAUGGCGACCACAUAUCAAUAAUUCGAGACAUGACGUGGGGCACUUUCAUCGUGAUUAUUGUCUGUACAAUAAUGUUUGAUGCAUUAUUUCUUGUUAAGACUUUUUAGGUUGUGAAAAGUCCAAGAUGUAGCUUUUGAUUUUAUCAUUUAUAUUAAAUUGAAAUUUUGACAUAAAAUUCUAAAGAUUUUGUGGUUAAAAUUUCAAGAUCUUCGAAGAAAGACCUUUAAAUAAGGAUUUAAAGUUAUUAUGAGAUGGUCUUUAUUUACCUAUUUAGAUUUUUUUAUUUAUAUUAAAAAUUUUAAUUCAAUUAGUAUUUUACUAUUUAAAAAUUCUAAUAAUAGAUUGAUUAUAUUAAUAAUACAAAUUAUUUUUCUAUACAAAAUUUUAUUUCUAGAAUUAAUAUAAAUAAAAAUAUUUAGUUUAUUUUUUUGUUCAGGAUUCAUAUUAUUAUUUAGAUUUUUUAUAAAUAUUUAGAGAUUUUUUUUAUUUUGCUACUGUGUUAGGACUAUAACUUUAAGGUUUGGGUGUUUGGGAAAGUUAUAGCGGUUACGUUUUAAAGUGAUUUUUAUUUAAAAAUACAUCAAAAUAAUAUAUAUUUUUUAUUUUUAAAAUUAAUUUUUGACAUCAAAACAAUGCAAAAACACCAAAAAAUUAAUUUGAAAAAAAAUUAAAAUUUUUGAAAACCUUGAUUAAAAUGUUGUACCAAACACCCUCUUAGUUUUAUCUUAUUUUUAAAAAAAUAAUUCUUAACAUUAGCAAUCAAAACAAUCUAAAAACAAAAAAAUAAUUUUAAAAAAAUCAAAAUCUUUAAAAACUCCCGUCUAAAUGUUUCCUUUUAGUUUUAUCAUUGUUGCACUGCGUAAUGAUGCUCAAAAGGAAAUAGUUGAUAUAGCCGUACUUGGGGUAUUUAAGAAUGUGAUAGCGGUUACUUUUUAAAAUGUUUUUCGUUUAGAAAUGUAUCAAAAUAAUAUUUUUUUAUUUUUAAAAAAUUAUUUUUGAUAUCACCAUAUCAAAAUGAUAUGAAAACACUAAAAAAAUAUUAAUUUAAAGUAAAAAAAAUAAAAAAAAUUAAUCUUUUAUUAAAAUAUUUUUGAAAUACAGAAAUACUACGAGCUCUCAACCUGCUACAAAUAACUGCUGCAAUGGCCUUUCUUUAAUAUUUUACUUACACCAUUCUGCAAAAUAUUUUCUUUUGUACAUCCAUGGAACCCUCUUUGCCUUCUACACAAAUUCAAAGUCCAUGCUAAAAACUACAAAGAAAUGAUCUCUACCUUUCCAAAAGUUAAAGGCUUUUGGUACUUUCCGUCCUUCUUGGGAACACUCAUCUCAGUUCAAGCAAUCCACUGAUAUAUUUGUCGUCAGCUUCCAAAAACGAAGGAAAUCUUUGGUUAAGUUAAAACUCCUUUUCUCCUUCAACAGUGAAAUUCACGUGCCUUUCACACCUUUUUAAGUUCGAACAUUUCAUUUGUUCUUGUGCUCUAAAUUGAGUCUUUUUUGUGAGUUCUAUUAUUCUACUGUGUUUGGUUUAGCUUUUGUAGUUGAGGUUGUGGUAGGGUACAUGUACAAAACUCAACCACAAAAGCUAAUUUUUCUUGUUUUUUAUGGCUUUUUUAGUGGGUUCCACACUCAACCUCAACCUCCAUCUCAAAUACAAACACACACUAAAAGAUUAGAAAACGCAAGAUUGCAUCAAUGCUAAAAGCAAUUUCAAUCUCAAUGUGUGUGUCAAAUGCAUGGUGAUGUUUCAUGAUAUGUUUGUUUUGACGUUUCAAAAAUAUUUUUUUUAAACUGAAUUUUUUUAAUUUAUUUUUCGCUUCAAAUUAAUAUUUUUUGUUUUUUCAGAUUAUUUUGAUGUACUGUUGUUAAAAAUAAUUUUUUUUAAAUAAAAAAUAUUAUUUUAAUACAUUUCCGAGCAAAAAUCACUUUAAAAAAUAAUUGUUAUUACACUUCCAAACACAUCUUUAAAAGGACAAAGUUAUGGAGUUGAGGGCUCUAAAUAUUCCUCAAAAUAUCUGGCCUCAAAGCUAUUAUCGAGUCUUAAAGCUUUUGCUUUUUAUAUUGUUUUGAUGUAAAAAAUAAAUUUUAAAAAUAAAAAAAUAUUAUUUUAAUAUAUUUUUAAAUAAAAAAAUAUUUUAAAAAACAAUUACAGUAAAAUAACAAAUAAAAUAUUAAUAUGAAAUAAAAUCUAAUUCUACCAGCAGACAGCUGAUAAGAAUACUAAAAGAGUGUAAAUUUUGACUUAAUUCAAUAUUUCAAUUAUUAGAAUUUGGGGCAGCGUAACAGUGUCAAAGAAAAUGUCAGAAAAGUAAGGAAAACAGUACAAAUACCUUGGAUGAUGGUGACCAAAUAUUUGUAAUUUGAGACAUCUCGUUCUUGAAAAGAAUAGUUAAUAGUGCCAAUAAUAUUUUUUUUUAUUCACGUGACGGGUGAGCUUGUGUGUAUCUCGAUUAAUUCCCACGAAUCCUGAAAUUAAUGAUCAGGUAAGUUUCCAGUGGUCAUCAAUAUUAACAACCAUAUGGCUCGAACCUGAGACCACAAGGAGGAGCAAACCUCUUGAUCUCAAACUCUUACUAUUAGACUGCCUAUUAGAUGGUUAGUGCUAAUAAUUAAUCUGCUCUUGACUUGCUACAAAUAGCUGUCAUGAUCACAUAUUCAAAAAACACUAGUUUAUAAAUUCUAAGGGUAUCUCAACUAGUUAGACUUUAAGUAUGUUUUCCAAUAAUUAUGAGUUCGAGUCCUUUUAAGAUAAUUGAAGGUUUACACGGCGUUAACUUCAGGACCCAUAAAAUUAAUCGAGAUAUAUACAAGUUGAUUCAGAUAACCAUAUUAAUUUAAAAAAACAAACACUAGUCUAGAAAAGCAAUAUACAAGGUGAUUUUUUAGUUGACUAGUUGAAUCUGAUUUUUAUAAAAAGUAAUAUUUUAGAAGAUAAUUUUUAAUAAUUUUAGAUUUUUUAAUAUAUAAAUAUCAAAAAUAAAUUUUAAAAAAUAAAAAAAUAUUAUUUUAAUAUAAUUUUAAAUAAAAAAACAUUUGAAAAAACAAUUAAUAGUAUACUCUCAACUACCCCAAAAUAUAGGAUUAAAUUGGAUUGCGGGUUCCCCACCAUUUAAAGCUUGCAAAGAAGGAUUUGAAACACAAUCACCCUAAAGAUUUGCAAAUGGAAUAUAAUAUAAAAUAAUACCCAAUUGCAUCAGCGGACAUGUAAUCAAUAAUAUUAAAAUACGGUAAAUUUUGAUUUAAUUCAAUUAUUGGAUUCUAGGCAGCGUGACAAUGUCAGAAAAUCUUGGAUGAUGGUGACCAAACAUAUCAGUAAUUUGAGACAACACGUUCCCGAAAGGUAAUAGUUGAUGGUGCCAAAAUUUAAACCAGCUCUCAACUCGCUACAAAUAGCUGCCAUGGCCUUUCAUUCUACCAUAUAUUUAUUUUUUAACUUUCAUGGAAUCCUCUUUGCCUUCCUCCCAAAUCUUGGAUUCUGAUGGAAGUGCUGAGAGGAAAAAUGAAGCUACAAAUUGCAAUGAAGUGAUGUCCACCCUUCCAAAAGUCAAAGGCUUGAGGGGGGAUGAUUAUUACCUGUACCAAGGCUUUUGGUACGAUGCCUUCUUCUUGGAAGGACUCAUGUCUGUUCAAGAGCACUUCAAUCCUCAAUCCACUGAUAUAUUUGUCGCCAGUUUUCCAAAAACUGGCACAACUUGGCUUAAGGCCCUCACUUUUGCUAUUUUUACACGAUCCCGUUUAAGUGGUUCAACAACUAGUUCUUUACUUACCAAGAUGCCACAUGACUGUGUUCCUUUGUUGGAAAAUGACCUUGCUAAAAACCCCAGUAAUCGGGACUUGGCAAUUCCUCUGCUAUCUACUCAUGUUCCUUACAGUUGUUUACCUAAAUCUAUCAUUUCUUCUAGUUGCAAGAUUAUUUACAUUUGCAGGGACGCAAAGGAUGCUUUUGUUUCUUUGUGGUACUUUCAUGCCACGCUGCAAAGGUCGAAAAAUGUUGAGCAUCUUCCUCUGGAAGAGGCUUUUGAGCUGUUCUGCAAUGGAAUUGCAAAUUUUGGACCAUACUGGA